AGAAUCAACGCUGGCGGCGUGCCUAACACAUGCAAGUCGAACGCGAAAGGGGAGCAAUCCCUGAGUAGAGUGGCAAACGGGUGGGUAACACGUGGGUGACCUGCCUCCGAGUGGGGGAUAACGUCCCGAAAGGGACGCUAAUACCGCAUAACAUCCUGCUUUUGGAAAAGCGGAGAUCAAAGCUGGGGAUCGCAAGACCUGGCGCUUGAAGAGGGGCCCGCGCCUGAUUAGCUAGUUGGUGGGGUAAUGGCUCACCAAGGCUACGAUCAGUA
Molecule: ribosomal RNA, 272 nt
Filed under: uncultured bacterium
Lineage: Bacteria
Description: partial small subunit ribosomal RNA
Rfam family: Bacterial small subunit ribosomal RNA
Source: RNAcentral